GUGCUCGUUUCGGCAGCACAUAUAUUAAAUUUGGAACGAUACAGAGAGGAUCAGCAUGGCCCCUGCGCAAGGAUGACACGCAAAUUCGUGAAGCGUUCCAUGUUUUU
This 107-nucleotide small nuclear RNA is filed under the name Tursiops truncatus (common bottlenose dolphin). The record is from RNAcentral. Lineage: Eukaryota; Metazoa; Chordata; Mammalia; Artiodactyla; Delphinidae.